This 346-nucleotide unclassified non-coding RNA is filed under the name soil metagenome. RNAcentral describes it as "partial contains 5.8S ribosomal RNA, internal transcribed spacer 2, and large subunit ribosomal RNA". The stretch from base 1 to 121 matches the Rfam family "5.8S ribosomal RNA", at positions 35 to 154 of the family's 154-position model. The record is from RNAcentral.
GAUGAAGAACGCAGCGAAAUGCGAUAAGUAAUGCGAAUUGCAGAAUUUCCGUGAGUCAUCGAAUCUUUGAACGCACAUUGCGCCCACUGGUAUUCCGGGGGGCAUGCCUGUCCGAGCGUCAUUGCUGCCCUCAAGCACGGCUUGUGUGUUGGGCCUCCGUCCUCCUCCCGGGGGACGGGCCCGAAAGGCAGCGGCGGCACCGCGUCCGGUCCUCGAGCGUAUGGGGCUUCGUCACCCGCUCUUGUAGGCCCGGCCGGCGCUUGCCGACACAUCAAUCUUUUUUCCAGGUUGACCUCGGAUCAGGUAGGGAUACCCGCUGAACUUAAGCAUAUCAAUAAGCGGAGGA